Molecule: long non-coding RNA, 875 nt
Filed under: Equus caballus (horse)
Lineage: Eukaryota; Metazoa; Chordata; Mammalia; Perissodactyla; Equidae
Description: lncRNA (ENSECAG00000052396.1)
Source: RNAcentral
CCUCCUCCACCCCAAAUCUUCCACAGCUUCCUGUAGUUCACAAGACAGCUUGGCACAAAGGGCCAAGUGCAGGAAUCCACAGGUCCUGACUUUUCCACGCUUGCGCUCAGCUCCCACGACCUCCUCCGAGGCCUCUUCUCCUCCACACCUGAAGCAAGCUCCCUUCAUCCUUACAGGCUCGUCUUGCACGCCACCAUCCUCCGCUGACGUGAACUUCUGCCUCUGGAACCGCAUGCUCUUCACACCUGUACAGCUGCUCCUGACCAGCCACUCCCCCCACACCACCAGCACCGCAUUUCUCCAUUUGUAGGCCCUUUGGGGAGACUGCCCUGGGGCCAUGUGCAGGUUUACAGGCUCCACAGUGACAGAGGGUCCUGGGCAUUACAGGCCAUCAAUGAGUCCUCCUUACUGGAACCUCCCCUCAAUUUCAUAAAGGGAUUAUUUGUUAAGAAAGAAUAAACACUGCACAGCAGCACCACGAUCUGCAACAAGCAGAGUCACGCCGACCAGCACCAGCUUCCUCGAGCAAUAGCCAUCCAACACUCCCAGGAAAGGACGACACGACAAAGUGUCGUAGAACUGCAAGAAGACUUGCUCUUCUGCUCCAGUCUGGAGGAGGGCUUCAGAGAAGUGGAACUAAAAGCCAGAACGACGUGUUGGUUGAGGUAUUUACUGGCAAUGACAGAUCACAUGUCAGGUUCCAGUGGGUCAGAACUGAAAUGAUAGCACUACCUCCUUACAGAUUGUCUUUUCCUUGGCAAGUAAAUAGUUCCAUCCAUCUGACAAAUAUUCACUGAGCAGGUAACAUGUCCAAAGCAUUGCAAGAAAGACUGAGGGACUCAAUUUAAUCAGAAGUCUUCAGCUCAAGGGCACCA